RNAcentral lists this ribosomal RNA (2670 nucleotides) under Campylobacter coli. RNAcentral describes it as "partial 23S ribosomal RNA". It matches the Rfam family "Bacterial large subunit ribosomal RNA", at positions 1 to 2526 of the family's 2925-position model. The record is from RNAcentral. Lineage: Bacteria; Pseudomonadati; Campylobacterota; Epsilonproteobacteria; Campylobacterales; Campylobacteraceae.
AGGUAAGCUACUAAGAGCGAAUGGUGGAUGCCUUGACUGGUAAAGGCGAUGAAGGACGUACUAGACUGCGAUAAGCUACGGGGAGCUGUCAAGAAGCUUUGAUCCGUAGAUUUCCGAAUGGGGCAACCCAAUGUAUAGAGAUAUACAUUACCUAUAUAGGAGCGAACGAGGGGAAUUGAAACAUCUUAGUACCCUCAGGAAAAGAAAUCAAUAGAGAUUGCGUCAGUAGCGGCGAGCGAAAGCGCAAGAGGGCAAACCCAGUGCUUGCACUGGGGGUUGUAGGACUGCAAUGUGCAAGAGGUGAGUUUAGCAGAACAUUCUGGAAAGUAUAGCCAUAGAGGGUGAUAGUCCCGUAUGCGAAAAACAAACCUUAGCUAGCAGUAUCCUGAGUAGGGCGGGACACGAGAAAUCCUGUCUGAAGCUGGGUCGACCACGAUCCAACCCUAAAUACUAAUACCAGAUCGAUAGUGCACAAGUACCGUGAGGGAAAGGUGAAAAGAACUGAGGUGAUCAGAGUGAAAUAGAACCUGAAACCAUUUGCUUACAAUCAUUCAGAGCCCUAUGUAGCAAUACAGGGUGAUGGACUGCCUUUUGCAUAAUGAGCCUGCGAGUUGUGGUGUCUGGCAAGGUUAAGCAAACGCGAAGCCGUAGCGAAAGCGAGUCUGAAUAGGGCGCUUAGUCAGAUGCUGCAGACCCGAAACGAAGUGAUCUAUCCAUGAGCAAGUUGAAGCUAGUGUAAGAACUAGUGGAGGACUGAACCCAUAGGCGUUGAAAAGCCCCGGGAUGACUUGUGGAUAGGGGUGAAAGGCCAAUCAAACUUCGUGAUAGCUGGUUCUCUCCGAAAUAUAUUUAGGUAUAGCGUUGUGUCGUAAUAUAAGGGGGUAGAGCACUGAAUGGGCUAGGGCAUACACCAAUGUACCAAACCCUAUCAAACUCCGAAUACCUUAUAUGUAAUCACAGCAGUCAGGCGGCGAGUGAUAAAAUCCGUCGUCAAGAGGGAAACAACCCAGACUACCAGCUAAGGUCCCUAAAUCUUACUUAAGUGGAAAACGAUGUGAAGUUACUUAAACAACCAGGAGGUUGGCUUAGAAGCAGCCAUCCUUUAAAGAAAGCGUAAUAGCUCACUGGUCUAGUGAUUUUGCGCGGAAAAUAUAACGGGGCUAAAGUAAGUACCGAAGCUGUAGACUUGCGCACAACUUAGAUUAUUUAAGUUUAGAAUAUGAGAAACUAAGUUAUAUGUUUAGUUAUAUUUUUACUGAUUUUUAUAGAGUAAAGAUAGAAAUAAAACUUAGUAAAAUCAGUAAAAAUAUUCUUAGACUAAAGUUAAGUAGUUUAAGUUGUGUGCAAGUGGUAGGAGAGCGUUCUAUUUGCGUCGAAGGUAUACCGGUAAGGAGUGCUGGAGCGAAUAGAAGUGAGCAUGCAGGCAUGAGUAGCGAUAAUUAAUGUGAGAAUCAUUAACGCCGUAAACCCAAGGUUUCCUACGCGAUGCUCGUCAUCGUAGGGUUAGUCGGGUCCUAAGUCGAGUCCGAAAGGGGUAGACGAUGGCAAAUUGGUUAAUAUUCCAAUACCAACAUUAGUGUGCGAUGGAAGGACGCUUAGGGCUAAGGGGGCUAGCGGAUGGAAGUGCUAGUCUAAGGUCGUAGGAGGUUAUACAGGCAAAUCCGUAUAACAAUACUCCGAGAACUGAAAGGCUUUUUGAAGUCUUCGGAUGGAUAGAAGAACCCCUGAUGCCGUCGAGCCAAGAAAAGUUUCUAAGUUUAGCUAAUGUUGCCCGUACCGUAAACCGACACAGGUGGGUGGGAUGAGUAUUCUAAGGCGCGUGGAAGAACUCUCUUUAAGGAACUCUGCAAAAUAGCACCGUAUCUUCGGUAUAAGGUGUGGUUCGCUUCGUAUUAGGAUUUACUCCGAAAGCGAAGAAACUUACAACAAAGAGUCCCUCCCGACUGUUUACCAAAAACACAGCACUCUGCUAACUCGUAAGAGGAUGUAUAGGGUGUGACGCCUGCCCGGUGCUCGAAGGUUAAUUGAUGGGGUUAGCAUUAGCGAAGCUCUUGAUCGAAGCCCGAGUAAACGGCGGCCGUAACUAUAACGGUCCUAAGGUAGCGAAAUUCCUUGUCGGUUAAAUACCGACCUGCAUGAAUGGCGUAACGAGAUGGGAGCUGUCUCAAAGAGGGAUCCAGUGAAAUUGUAGUGGAGGUGAAAAUUCCUCCUACCCGCGGCAAGACGGAAAGACCCCGUGGACCUUUACUACAGCUUGACACUGCUAUUUGGAUAAGAAUGUGCAGGAUAGGUGGGAGGCUUUGAGUAUAUGACGCCAGUUGUAUAUGAGCCAUUGUUGAGAUACCACUCUUUCUUAUUUGGGUAGCUAACCAGCUUGAGUUAUCCUCAAGUGGGACAAUGUCUGGUGGGUAGUUUGACUGGGGCGGUCGCCUCCCAAAUAAUAACGGAGGCUUACAAAGGUUGGCUCAGAACGGUUGGAAAUCGUUCGUAGAGUAUAAAGGUAUAAGCCAGCUUAACUGCAAGACAUACAAGUCAAGCAGAGACGAAAGUCGGUCUUAGUGAUCCGGUGGUUCUGUGUGGAAGGGCCAUCGCUCAAAGGAUAAAAGGUACCCCGGGGAUAACAGGCUGAUCUCCCCCAAGAGCUCACAUCGACGGGGAGGUUUGGCACCU